RNAcentral lists this non-coding RNA (253 nucleotides) under uncultured bacterium. RNAcentral's name for it is "partial 16S ribosomal RNA". It matches the Rfam family "Bacterial small subunit ribosomal RNA", at positions 524 to 776 of the family's 1533-position model. RNAcentral also lists the same sequence under 2 other names. The record is from RNAcentral.
UACGUAGGUGGCAAGCGUUGUCCGGAAUUAUUGGGCGUAAAGCGCGCGCAGGCGGCCUCUUAAGUCUGAUGUGAAAGCCCCCGGCUCAACCGGGGAGGGCCAUUGGAAACUGGGAGGCUUGAGUAUAGGAGAGAAGAGUGGAAUUCCACGUGUAGCGGUGAAAUGCGUAGAGAUGUGGAGGAACACCAGUGGCGAAGGCGACUCUUUGGCCUAUAACUGACGCUGAGGCGCGAAAGCGUGGGGAGCAAACAGG